CAUAUUUGUUUAUUUAUCUAUUAGUAUAAAUAUAAAAAAAUAAAUUGAAGUUUGAUUAGAAAUACGAAAAGACUUUUUCGACUACCUAAUACAAGGUAUAUUUUACAAGAUCUUCGAUGUUUCCGUCUGGAAACCUUAUACCAAAAUAAAGAAUAUUUUGCAUUUUAGUAAAAUAAUACUCCGUACUUUACACAUCUAUUUUACUUGCUAUACUUUUCACGAAAAAAAACAGAACUAACUAAAAAUCCCGCACAAGUUGAAAUUAUUCAAAAUGCCUGUAGACCUGUGUCGCAAAAUUAUCAGGCUUAACUACAUAUAUCACAACAAUAGUAAAACACAAAGUAUCGUAAACUAAACAGCCGACAAGUCAAUAAAGACAAAAGGGCGCAAUCACACAGGAAAGAUGAGUAAAUUACUCGCUUGUGGCGUAAUCAAGUCGUAAGUAAAUACUUGGUCGCUGGCUUUCUACAAUAUUUGGCAUCAUAAUUUGAGUCACGUGGCGAUAAGAAAAAUAGCUGUGGAUGGAGAUCAGCGCAAAAGAUGUUCAGGGUAACUCGAGCAAGAAAGCAAUUCACGUUCGAAUGUACCAAAAAAACUCUGCGACCAUCCUAUCCACUGUGAAGAAACUAACAACGCUUACACAUGGUUAUAAACCUGUUGACUUCGUAUGCGUCACACCAACACACAUUUAAUGGC
Long non-coding RNA from Bactrocera dorsalis (oriental fruit fly), 696 nucleotides. RefSeq lists it as uncharacterized. The record is from RefSeq and is a predicted model, not a curated record. The transcript is spliced from 3 exons. Lineage: Eukaryota; Metazoa; Arthropoda; Insecta; Diptera; Tephritidae.